GACUGAGUGGUUUAAAGUGUUGGUCUUGAAAACCAAUGUGUCUUACACCGUGGGUUCGAAUCCCACCUUAUUCU
Molecule: transfer RNA, 74 nt
Filed under: Vannella croatica
Lineage: Eukaryota; Discosea; Flabellinia; Vannellidae
Description: tRNA-Ser
Rfam family: tRNA
About the family: Transfer RNA (tRNA) molecules are approximately 80 nucleotides in length. Their secondary structure includes four short double-helical elements and three loops (D, anti-codon, and T loops).
Source: RNAcentral